GACGGAAGGUGCAAGCGUUGCUCGGAAUCACUGGGCGUAAAGGGUGCGUAGGCGGCCGUGCAAGUCUGGCGUGAAAGCCCCGGGCUCAGCCCGGGAAGUGCGCUCGAAACUGCGCGGCUCGAGUGCCGGAGGGGAGAGUGGAAUUCCUGGUGUAGCGGUGAAAUGCGCAGAUAUCAGGAGGAACACCGGUGGCGAAGGCGGCGACCUGGUCCUUGACUGACGCUGAGGCGCGAAAGCGUGGGGAGCAAACAGG
RNAcentral lists this ribosomal RNA (253 nucleotides) under uncultured bacterium. RNAcentral's name for it is "partial 16S ribosomal RNA". It matches the Rfam family "Bacterial small subunit ribosomal RNA", at positions 524 to 776 of the family's 1533-position model. The record is from RNAcentral.